GAUGAACGCUGGCGGCGUGCCUAAUACAUGCAAGUCGAGCGAACGGACGAGAAGCUUGCUUCUCUGAUGUUAGCGGCGGACGGGUGAGUAACACGUGGAUAACCGACCUAUAAGACUGGGAUAACUUCGGGAAACCGGAGCUAAUACCGGAUGAUAUUUUGAACCGCAUGGUUCAAAAGUGAAAGACGGUCUUGCUGUCACUUAUAGAUGGAACCGCGCUGCAUUAGCUAGUUGGUAAGGUAACGGCUUACCAAGGCAACGAUGCAUAGCCGACCUGAGAGGGUGAUCGGCCACACUGGAACUGAGACACGGUCCAGACUCCUACGGGAGGCAGCAGUAGGGAAUCUUCCGCAAUGGGCGAAAGCCUGACGGAGCAACGCCGCGUGAGUGAUGAAGGUCUUCGGAUCGUAAAACUCUGUUAUUAGGGAAGAACAUAUGUGUAAGUAACUGUGCACAUCUUGACGUUACCUAAUCAGAAAGCCACGGCUAACUACGUG
RNAcentral lists this ribosomal RNA (497 nucleotides) under uncultured bacterium. RNAcentral describes it as "partial 16S ribosomal RNA". It matches the Rfam family "Bacterial small subunit ribosomal RNA", at positions 28 to 507 of the family's 1533-position model. The record is from RNAcentral.